UAGCUUAGUUGGUAGUGCGUCUGCCUUGUAAGCGCUAGGCCGUGGGUUCGAUUCCCAC
RNAcentral lists this transfer RNA (58 nucleotides) under Diaphorina citri (Asian citrus psyllid). It matches the Rfam family "tRNA", at positions 8 to 63 of the family's 71-position model. Rfam says of the family: Transfer RNA (tRNA) molecules are approximately 80 nucleotides in length. Their secondary structure includes four short double-helical elements and three loops (D, anti-codon, and T loops). Further hydrogen bonds mediate the characteristic L-shaped molecular structure. tRNAs have two regions of fundamental functional importance: the anti-codon, which is responsible for specific mRNA codon recognition, and the 3' end, to which the tRNAs corresponding amino acid is attached (by aminoacyl-tRNA synthetases). tRNAs cope with the degeneracy of the genetic code in two manners: having more than one tRNA (with a specific anti-codon) for a particular amino acid; and 'wobble' base-pairing, i.e. permitting non-standard base-pairing at the 3rd anti-codon position. The record is from Rfam by way of RNAcentral. Lineage: Eukaryota; Metazoa; Arthropoda; Insecta; Hemiptera; Psyllidae.